UACAGAGGGUGCGAGCGUUAAUCGGAAUUACUGGGCGUAAAGCGUGCGCAGGCGGUUUUGUAAGCCAGAUGUGAAAUCCCCGGGCUUAACCUGGGAAUGGCAUUUGGGACUGCAAGGCUGGAGUUUGGCAGAGGAGACUGGAAUUCCUGGUGUAGCAGUGAAAUGCGUAGAUAUCAGGAGGAACACCGAUGGCGAAGGCAGGUCACUGGGCCGCAACUGACGCUGAGGAGCGAAAGCAUGGGGAGCGAACAGG
Molecule: ribosomal RNA, 253 nt
Filed under: uncultured bacterium
Lineage: Bacteria
Description: partial 16S ribosomal RNA
Rfam family: Bacterial small subunit ribosomal RNA
Source: RNAcentral